AUUGAACGCUGGCGGCAUGCCUUACACAUGCAAGUCGAACGGCAGCACGGGAGCAAUCCUGGUGGCGAGUGGCGAACGGGUGAGUAAUAUAUCGGAACGUGCCCAGUCGUGGGGGAUAACGCAGCGAAAGCUGUGCUAAUACCGCAUACGAUCUAAGGAUGAAAGCGGGGGAUCGCAAGACCUCGCGCGAUUGGAGCGGCCGAUAUCAGAUUAGCUAGUUGGUGGGGGAAAGGCCCAACAAGGCGACGAUCUGUAGCUGGUCUGAGAGGACGACCAGCCACACGGGAACUGAGCCCCAGUCCAGACUCCUACGGGAGGCAGCAGUGGGGAAUUUUGGACAAUGGGCGCAAGCCUGAUCCAGCAAUGCCGCGUGCAGGAUGAAGGCCUUCGGGUUGUAAGCUGCUUUUGUACGGAACGAAACGGCCCUUUCUAAUACAGGGGGCUAAUGACGGUACCGUAAGAAUAAGCACCGGCUAACUUCGUGCCAGCCGCCGCAGUAA
This 500-nucleotide ribosomal RNA is filed under the name uncultured bacterium. RNAcentral's name for it is "partial 16S ribosomal RNA". It matches the Rfam family "Bacterial small subunit ribosomal RNA", at positions 30 to 523 of the family's 1533-position model. The record is from RNAcentral.